GCCAGAGAAAGUAGUUGAUUCCAUAUAAAGUUGUGUAUAAUCAAAGUGUUACCGUAGUGAGAACUCAAACAAUUUAGUUAAAAAAACCGAAGUGGCUUCUAUGCUACUCUCAACUAGCUGCCACGGUGGAGGACCCGCGCGGUUCAGAUAAUUCUAUUUCUCUAUCCGAAUACUCGACAUCACGAUCCGAAAAUGAUAGCCGCAAGGAAAAGAAGCAGUUAAGAGCAGUAUUCUUAAUCCGUAAUGGUGAAGUUUACAAAUUUUUUAUCAACGAGUCUGCCGCAAACGAAACACUGAGCCCUGCGCGUCCGACAUUGUCGGUGACUGCACCGCCCGACGAACCCGCGGCAGGAGCAGUAGACAACCGACCUCAUGAUGCUAUUCCUGAAAAGUCCGAACGCCGAGUUCAACUGCGGCCACCAAUGUCUUUCUGUUCCGGAUCAACGUCUCUUUCCGGCUCCGAAGAUACCACUUCGUUGCCCCUCGUGGCUAGCAGACCUUUUGCUGUUCUCCUUCGGCUGAGGGUGACUCAGAUAGUAGCCGGUAUUGUGACUGUACUAUUUGGUACCGUGGCUUGCUUGGAUCCAACCACUAGGCCUACUCUGGGGUUCGGCAUUCCUGCUGGGGCCCUUACAGUUCUGGCUGCAGCUCUUCACAUGCAGGCUUCCCGCCGACAGUUUCAUGCCGCUCUUGCUGGCAGUUCAACGCUAUUUUUCGGAUCAAGUGGCUCACGUCAAGCGCCACUUCUGCAGGUCCUUCGACCCUUAUUGCCGACUCUAGCUUGCGUGUUAGCGUCACUCCUGUUGCUAGCACUAGCUUGCAUGGCCUUAGGUGGGAACGACAAAAAUCUUAUAGCUUUGGGUAUUCUCCACUCUAUCAGUGCUCUUGUAGUACUCUGCACAGAGGCACUAGUAUUGGCACUACGCUGGCACUGGACCGUUAAAUCUCAUUAUUAAUUGCAUUUCCCAAUAUGAUAUCAAAGCAUUAAAUGUUUCACACGAAGACUUCCGACUCAAAAGUCAGUAUAGGAGAAGUUUGUGAGAGUAUUAUAAGACUGGGACGGUUUGAAAAUAAUAACAAUUUGAUGUGGUUACCAUUAAAUUAUGAACCAACCAACAUUUUACUCUAAUGACAAAUUUAUUAAAUAUUGAAGGGAAUUAAGAAUAGAAAGAUUCGAAAUAAGAAAACAAAUGUAUUAAUUACAUAUAGCGAAAUGUGUAACGAGAAGAUGUAUUCCAUUUAUGGAUACUCAUUCAGAUGAAAAAAAUCACUAGUAUUUUUUUCCAGAAGAUUUAUCGGAAGAUUUUAUGUGUCAGAAAGAAAUGCGGCUAAAAAUUUCCAACACGACAAUGUAUAAUAAGGAAUGGCCAUCACGAUAGUAACAGAAUGUGUAUCGGAAAACAUCUUUCUUCAAAAACAGCAGUGCAUACUAGCGAAUCAGAUAAGUCAAAACAUUACUUAGAAAAGUUAACUAAUGAGAUAGAAAUAGUAUACUAUAAAUGUUGUGAAUGUUCAGUUACGAUCAGAUUGGUGACUUAUAAACAAGAAGAGUGGUUGAAGACGUUUUUAUAAUGUUCACAACAAGUGGUGAUCAUUAGGACAGAAUUACGGUUUAUUAUUAACUGAUCACAUUUAACCCAGUAAAUAAGAGACGACAACUAAUUUAGAACGUUCAGUGGUAUCUGACAUUCGAUCUGAAGCUUCAUGUAAGACGAUUAAAAGAAAAAUCUGAUCUUAAAGAAAUAAGCUUUUAAAUGCUAACAUGUGCUUCAGAACUCUUAGAGUAAAACUUUAUAUAAAACAGAAAUGAUCCAGUUAGAAAAGAGAACGAAUAAGUUAGGUUUGGGAAAUAGCUUUACUUAGGACGUUUCUGAUAUGAACCAGAAGUGAUCAAAAUGAGAGAACGAAUAAACGUUAGGUUUGGGAAAUAGCUUUACUUAGGACGUUUCUGAUAUGAACCAGAAGUGAUCAAAUUAAGAAAACAGAUAACAACAAUGAUUUCAUGGGAACGACCUUUACUUAAAAAGUUUGAUAGCGGACGUGAAGAGAUAUUUCGAACUGAUGAUAUGGGUAUAAACUGCUGUAUUCUAGAGUCUGCUAAGCAAUUACCACAUUUAUGUGUGUUUUUGAGUGAAGAAAUGUUUUAUUGUUGUUUACAAUUAUCCGUUUCAGGUAUUUGUAACGUUACAAUGUGUUGUUUUGACCUUAUGUAAAGAACAGUCUUACGUCAUCAAUAAUAUAACUGAUAGAUUUCUAUUGAAUGUUGCCGUUUCUAUAGUCUAUGUUUUUUUUAACAAUAGUAACUAUUUACUACAUGUUAAGAGAGCGUACAACCGUGCUGAUCAGAUUGCCUCGAUUUCGGCUUUGUUAAAUAUUUAGUCGUGAUUGGUUUUUCGUUUGAACAAGUUUUUCUUUAUUAGUUUGUUAAAGAGAUCAAACUUCAUCUCUGGGGUAAACACUUAGUUCUAAUAUGUAAAGAUCUUUAGAACAUAAACUAAAUAGUUAAUCAGAUAUGUUAGACUGCCAAACAGGUUUAAAUUACUAAUUGUUUUUGUUAUAGUACUAUUAAAUAAAGUCCAAAGUAUCAAUAGUAUAUUUGUUUUAUAUGUAAAAAAAAUAAAUACAGUUGUUUAUUUGAUGUCAUACAAUUAGAAAAUAAUGUUCGCAUUUACACGAUAUUAAUUUUUACGGAAACUGGAUACAAGUUGUGAAUUAAAUACGUUCUGACACUAAGAAAGACUUUUAAAUAGAAAAGGUGAGGUACUAUUAUAGUGAACCAUCACAAGAACUUUUAAAUUGAAAGGGUGAGGUACUAUUAUAGUGAACCAUCACAAGAACUUUUAAAUAGAAAAGGUGAGGUACUAUUAUAGUGAACCAUCACAAGAAAUUUUAAAUUGAAAGGGUGAGGUACUAUUAUAGUGAACCAUUACAAGAACUUUUAAAUAGAAAGGGUGAGGUACUAUUAUAGUGAACCAUCACAAGAACUUUUAAAUAGAAAGGGCGAGGUACUAUUAUAGUGAACCAUCACAAGAACUUUUAAAUAGAAAAGGUGAGGUACUAUUAUAGUGAACCAUCACAAGAAUAAACUAAUUCCGACAAUAUUAUUUCAGAUCGUGAGACCAGUUCAAAUAGAAACUGCUAAUUGUAAAACAGUAAAUAUUUAAAGAAUGCUGGAGUAUUUCAAGGCUUGUAGGUCGUUAUUUUAAUCCAUAUUUGGAUUUAGUCUUGUUUUAACUUUUUACAUACUUGUCUUUCUGGCAGCUAUUUUUAUCAUCGUUUUCUAUCGAUGUAGUCGUACUUGGAUUAGAGGAUUAGAUUUUAGCCUAAAUAGGCCAUAAAUAGCUCACGAAAAUGCAUAUCUCAAAUAUAACAUUUGGCUAAGGUUGACACAGCGUCAGAAGGUGAUCUUGAACUGAUUUUUUCUUCGGCUAAAAUAGGUCAGCUAAAACUGUUCUGAAUGCUCAUCUAAUAAAAAUUACUUUUAUUUUUUAUCUGCUUUUGUAAACCAAUUAUUCAUAUUAAGAAUUUAUAAGGCAUUAUAAAAAUGUUUAGAAAGUACAAUCUUUAUGUCGAUUUCAACUUAGGUUGUUUCUGAAAAAAUCAAUCAUAUAGACCGUACUCAGAAAGGGAUAUUUAAUGUUUGAAACAAAGUUGUCGUUUACUGGAUAUAAAUAUCAAAUAUGUAUGUAUUUUAUAUGCGUGUGUUUGAUAUUGUGUUUUAGGGAUCUCUGUAGACUAUGUUUCAUUGCCAUUUAUUGUUGCGAGUGCUCUGUUUUCAUGUCUGCAUGUAGCUCAAAUCCUGGUGUUGUUCAGUAACAUCUGUGAUAUUCUGUUUUCUAAAAAUACGUUAAGAGGAAGUGGUUCAUAAUUUCUUAAUACAGUCCUUACUUCAUGAUUGGACCUUUGUUUAAAUCCAGUUGUGUUUUACAAAAUGAAGUGAAAAACUGUAACUCGUAAAAAAGCUGCUAUAACAAUGAUAUGGUUGAAUAAAGUAACUUGUAAAGC
RNAcentral lists this long non-coding RNA (4005 nucleotides) under Limulus polyphemus (Atlantic horseshoe crab). RNAcentral describes it as "uncharacterized LOC111083240". The record is from RNAcentral. Lineage: Eukaryota; Metazoa; Arthropoda; Merostomata; Xiphosura; Limulidae.